Molecule: ribosomal RNA, 427 nt
Filed under: uncultured marine bacterium
Lineage: Bacteria
Description: bacterial SSU rRNA
Rfam family: Bacterial small subunit ribosomal RNA
Source: RNAcentral
UAGAGUUUGAUCAUGGCUCAGAUUGAACGCUGGCGGUAUGCUUAACACAUGCAAGUCGAACGGUAACAGCAGAGCUUGCUCUGGCUGACGAGUGGCGGACGGGUGCGUAACGCGUGGGAAUCUACCUUUUAGUGGGGGAUAGCCCGGAGAAAUCCGGAUUAAUACCGCAUAAGCCAUACGGGGGAAAAGGGGCCUCUUCUUGAAAGCUCUUGCUAUUAGAUGAGCCCGCGUAAGAUUAGCUAGUUGGUGGGGUAAUGGCCUACCAAGGCAACGAUCUUUAGCUGGUCUGAGAGGAUGAUCAGCCACACUGGGACUGAGACACGGCCCAGACUCCUACGGGAGGCAGCAGUGGGGAAUAUUGGACAAUUUGCGGAAGCCUGAUCCAACAAUACCGCGUGUGUGAAGAAGGCCUGAGGGUUGUAAAGCU